UACGAGGGGAGCAAGCGUUGUUCGGAUUUACUGGGCGUAAAGGGCGCGUAGGCGGCGUGACAAGUCACUUGUGAAAUCUCCGGGCUUAACUCGGAACGGUCAAGUGAUACUGUCGUGCUAGAGUACAGAAGGGGCAACUGGAAUUCUCGGUGUAGCGGUGAAAUGCGUAGAUAUCGAGAGGAACACCUGCGGCGAAGGCGGGUUGCUGGGCUGAUACUGACGCUGAGGAGCGAAAGCCAGGGGAGCAAACGGG
This 253-nucleotide ribosomal RNA is filed under the name uncultured bacterium. RNAcentral's name for it is "partial 16S ribosomal RNA". It matches the Rfam family "Bacterial small subunit ribosomal RNA", at positions 524 to 776 of the family's 1533-position model. The record is from RNAcentral.